This 563-nucleotide ribosomal RNA is filed under the name Bacillus velezensis. RNAcentral describes it as "bacterial SSU rRNA". It matches the Rfam family "Bacterial small subunit ribosomal RNA", at positions 337 to 891 of the family's 1533-position model. Lineage: Bacteria; Bacillati; Bacillota; Bacilli; Caryophanales; Bacillaceae. The record is from RNAcentral.
UCCUUCGGGGGGGGCAGCAGUAGGGAAUCUUCCGCAAUGGACGAAAGUCUGACGGAGCAACGCCGCGUGAGUGAUGAAGGUUUUCGGAUCGUAAAGCUCUGUUGUUAGGGAAGAACAAGUGCCGUUCAAAUAGGGCGGCACCUUGACGGUACCUAACCAGAAAGCCACGGCUAACUACGUGCCAGCAGCCGCGGUAAUACGUAGGUGGCAAGCGUUGUCCGGAAUUAUUGGGCGUAAAGGGCUCGCAGGCGGUUUCUUAAGUCUGAUGUGAAAGCCCCCGGCUCAACCGGGGAGGGUCAUUGGAAACUGGGGAACUUGAGUGCAGAAGAGGAGAGUGGAAUUCCACGUGUAGCGGUGAAAUGCGUAGAGAUGUGGAGGAACACCAGUGGCGAAGGCGACUCUCUGGUCUGUAACUGACGCUGAGGAGCGAAAGCGUGGGGAGCGAACAGGAUUAGAUACCCUGGUAGUCCACGCCGUAAACGAUGAGUGCUAAGUGUUAGGGGGUUUCCGCCCCUUAGUGCUGCAGCUAACGCAUAAGCACUCCGCCUGGAGUACUGCUGUCA